GAUGAACGCUGACAGAAUGCUUAACACAUGCAAGUCAACUUGAAUUUGGGUUUUUAACUUAGGUUUGGGUGGCGGACGGGUGAGUAACGCGUAAAGAACUUGCCUCACAGCUAGGGACAACAUUUGGAAACGAAUGCUAAUACCUAAUAUUAUGAUAAUAGGGCAUCCUAUAAUUAUGAAAGCUAUAAGCGCUGUGAGAGAGCUUUGCGUCCCAUUAGCUAGUUGGAGAGGUAACGGCUCACCAAGGCGAUGAUGGGUAGCCGGCCUGAGAGGGUGAUCGGCCACAAGGGGACUGAGACACGGCCCUUACUCAUACGGGAGGCAGCAGUGGGGAAUAUUGGACAAUGGACCGAGAGUCUGAUCCAGCAAUUCUGUGUGCACGAUGAAGUUUUUCGGAAUGUAAAGUGCUUUCAGUUGGGAAGAAACAAAUGACGGUACCAACAGAAGAAGUGACGGCUAAAUACGUG
This 467-nucleotide ribosomal RNA is filed under the name uncultured bacterium. RNAcentral's name for it is "partial 16S ribosomal RNA". It matches the Rfam family "Bacterial small subunit ribosomal RNA", at positions 28 to 507 of the family's 1533-position model. The record is from RNAcentral.